RNAcentral lists this ribosomal RNA (1309 nucleotides) under Triticum aestivum (bread wheat). RNAcentral describes it as "partial small subunit ribosomal RNA". The record is from RNAcentral. Lineage: Eukaryota; Viridiplantae; Streptophyta; Magnoliopsida; Poales; Poaceae.
GUUUUUUCUCCUGUGCAGUUUCCGAUCACUAGUAAAUCGUAACUGCCUCCGCCUCUCGGGCUCGCCGGCCACGAGCGCGGGGCGGCCACGGGCACGGCCGGGCGGCCGGGCGCGGGGCGCGGCCCGACGCGGGCGGCGGCCGGGCUGACGGGGAUGGCCGAGGCGGCGAGUACCGUCUCGGCGCAGCCGGCGCUGUGGCCGCAUCCAACGGCGCGAUGGCCGUGUCCUGCGGGCAAGCGAGGGCGGAGCGCGGCGCGUGGCCGGGCACGGGGCGCGGCACGGGACUCGACGGGCGUGGCGCGGCGCGUUGGCCACCGCUGCAGUCUGGUACCGCAUGUGCGCGAGCGCCGCAGUCAACGGCAAGCGAGAUAGGCUCGUCAGCCGGAAGAAGGAACGCUGCGUCGGCCGCUGGCCGUCUUCACCCCAAUAUGAGUUGGGGCUGCAGAUGAGCCGCGCUGGGAGGUUCCACGCCAAGGUCGAAGGCCAUCGUCGUGUGAUGUUCUUCCCGCUCCUGCAUGUCUGAAGGCAGCCGCUGCGUGCGCAGCCCAGGGAUGUGCCAGGAGGCCGAAAAUUAAGAUCGCCACAGACUGGGACGGCGGGACCGUCGGAAUUGCUGCCUCCGUUGUCGAAGACGUUGCCACGCGUCGGGCGUCGCUGCAAACAUUGGAUGGAAGUCUGUGCAUCAAAUGCUGUCGUUGCUCCAUGUCCUUGGCCGUCCCCUCCGUAACAGCCAUGUCGGGAUGGCCUAGUCACUCUCUGCGGAGAAACUAAAGUGCUGAUAACGUGUUAGAAAGGGAAACGAGAGACAAUCGAGAGAGCCUUGGAACACAUGUAAAAGUGAAUCCUUGUUCUCAUUGAUGAUGGGUUACACAUAUAUAUAUAACCCCCGAAGGGGUGUCUCCGAAGGGACACAAGGCAACCGCCUCCUUUAGGAAAAGUAGGGAUUAACAGGAUUAAUUAAAUCCUAACAAUCAUCAACCCUUCUCCAUCGCUAAUUCCAUGAUGCUCCCCAUCAGGAGUGAGUAAUCCCUUCGUAGGCUCGCUGGUCGGUGAGGAGUUAGAUGAGAUUCAUCAUGUAAUCGAGUUAGUUUUGUUAGGGCUUGAUCCCUAGUAUCCAUUAUGGUCUGAGGUUGAUGUUGCUAUGACUUUUCCAUGCUUAAUGCUUGUUACUUUGGGCCCGGGUACCAUGAUUUCAGAUCUGAACCGUUUAUGUUAUCACCAUUAUAUCUAUGUUCUAGAUCCGAUCUUGCAAGUUAUAGUCACCUACUACGUGUUAUGAUCCGGCAACCCCGGAGUGACAAUAGUCGGG